Non-coding RNA from Camillea tinctor, 163 nucleotides. NCBI's taxonomy places the organism in Eukaryota, Fungi, Ascomycota, Sordariomycetes, Xylariales, Graphostromataceae. The record is from the annotation of a GenBank genome assembly.
GGGAGCGUAGCUCAAUGGGUAAGAGCACUGCCGUGACAUCUACUCUCUAUGAUGGGGGCUAUCCUACUUGGACCCCCAGCACAGGGCUAUCCCACUGGGACCCUGGGCAAAGGGAACGGAAUGCUUUAGACAGAGGUUUCAGGUUCAAGUCCUGACACUCCCA